GUGCUCGCUUUAGCAGCACCUCUACUGAAAUUGGAAUGAUACACAGAAGAUUAGCAUGGCCGCUGCACAAGGAUGACACACACAUUCGUGAAGUAUUCCAUAUUUUU
Molecule: small nuclear RNA, 107 nt
Organism: Cercocebus atys (sooty mangabey)
Lineage: Eukaryota; Metazoa; Chordata; Mammalia; Primates; Cercopithecidae
Source: Ensembl